Long non-coding RNA from Oncorhynchus tshawytscha (Chinook salmon), 1484 nucleotides. NCBI's taxonomy places the organism in Eukaryota, Metazoa, Chordata, Actinopteri, Salmoniformes, Salmonidae. The record is from Ensembl.
UCACAGGUAUGCACUGUAGUCACAGGUAUACACUGUAGUCACAGGUAUACACUGUAGUCACAGGUAUGCACUGUAGUCACAGGUAUGCACUGUAGUCACAGGUAUGCACUGUAGUCACAGAUACAGUGCCUUGCGAAAGUAUUCGGCCCCCUUGAACUUUGCGACCUUUUGCCACAUUUCAGGCUUCAAACAUAAAGAUAGAAAACUGUAUUUUUUUGUGAAGAUUCAACAACAAGUGGGACACAAUCAUGAAGUGGAACGACAUUUAUUGGAUAUUUCAAACUUUUUUAACAAAUCAAAAAUUGGGCGUGCAAAAUUAUUCAAAAAAGUAUUAUUAUUAUUAUAUAGUAGUGGGGUAGUGUAGUGUGGGUAGUGUAUUGUAGUGGGGGUAGUGUAGUGGGGGUAGUGUAGUGUAGUGGGGGGUGUAGUGUAGUGGGGUAGUGUAGUGUAGUGGGGGUAGUGUAGUGUAGUGUGGGUAGUGUAGUGUAGUGUAGGUAGUGUAGUGUAUGGGGGUAGUGUAGUGGGGGUAGUGUAGUGUGGGGGUAGUGUAGUGGGGGUAGUGUAGUGUAGUGGGGGUAGUGUAGUGUGAAGUGUGACCAACCACUGUUUCCAUCCUGGGUGCAGUUGAAACGUAUCAAUCUGUUUUCACAGUGAGACAGUAGCAGAGAGUGUACGGUACACAACAUUGUCUGUAACCAACAACCUGAAGGACGGCGGUUUGAAUCCAAGGGCUUUCAGGGUGUGUACACAGCACUGUUUUCAUAGCAGUCACAGUCGCAGACUCUGUAUCAAUCGGAGUACAGUCAGACCUUCACAGCUCCCAACACAGGAAGAACAGUCAGUAACAGGGAGGGACAUGAACAACAGUCAGUAACAGGAAGAACAGUCAGUAACAGGGAGGGACAGGAACAACAGUCAGUAACAGGAAGAACAGUCAGUAACAGGGAGGGACAGGAAGAACAGUCAGUAAAAGGGAGGGACAGGAAGAACAGUCAGUAACCGGAAGAACAGUCAGUAACAGGGAGGGACAUGAACAACAGUCAGUAACAGGAAGAACAGUCAGUAACAGGGAGGGACAGGAAGAACAGUCAGUAACAGGGAGGGACAGGAAGAACAGUCAGUAAAAGGGAGGGACAGGAAGAACAGUCAGUAACCGGAAGAACAGUCAGUAACAGGGAGGGACAUGAACAACAGUCAGUAACAAGAAGAACAGUCAGUAACAGGGAGGGACAGGAAGAACAGUCAGUAACAGGAAGAACAGUCAGUAACAGGGAGGGACAGGAACAACAGUCAGUAACGGGGAGGGACAGGAAGAGCAGUCAGUAACAGGAAGAGCAGUCAGUAACAGGAAGAGCAGUCAGUAACAGGGAGGGACAAGAAGAACAGUCAGUAACAGGAAGAACAGUCAGUAACAGUCAGUAACAAGAAUAACAGUCAGUAACAGGGAUGGACAGGAAGAACAGUCAGUAACAGGAAGAACAGUC